Molecule: ribosomal RNA, 1355 nt
Filed under: Metschnikowia matae var. matae
Lineage: Eukaryota; Fungi; Ascomycota; Pichiomycetes; Serinales; Metschnikowiaceae
Description: bacterial SSU rRNA
Rfam family: Eukaryotic small subunit ribosomal RNA (bases 150-1355)
Source: RNAcentral
GGAGAGUUUAAUUCUAAGAGUCUUUUUCUGAGAGUUGGAGUUGGAGUCUUAAGAGUCUGUUUGUAAGGGUCUGUGUUUCAGAAGUGUAGUGAGGUAGAGAUUGAAAACCGGUGGGGAAAUUGCGGCUUAUAUAUAAGAUAGGAGCCGGUUACAAAGUCUUUUUCUGGUCUGAGUUUACAAACUCGUAAUUGUAUCUACAGAAAGAAAAAAGACGACAAGUGAACAAAAAUACAUACCCAAGACGCAGAAUCUCAUAUGGUAUAUACCAAAAUCUACAAACACACAUUUUGUACUGAUCGACCAGGUCGCGGCCCGAAAAGCCAUCCCAUACUUAAAAAGCUGGUUUGAAAAAAUCAUGGCUUAUUACAUGUAUCAAAAAGAUCUUGGCAUAAUCAUUACUUUGAGUAAAUGAAAGUGUUCAAAGCAGGCAACGCCUGAAUCUUAUAGCAUGGAAUAACAAAAUAAGAUGAUUUUUUAUUUGUUGGUUCCUAAAAAUCAUAAUGAUUAAUAGGAACGGUCGGGGACAAGAGUAUUCAAUAGUUAGAGGUGAAAUUCUUAGAUUUAUUGAAGACUAACUACUGCGAAAGCAUUUUUCAAGGACGUUUUCACUAAUCAAGAACGUUUUCACUAAUCAAGAACGUUUUCACUAAUCAAGAACGAAAGUUAGGGGAUCGAAGAUGAUCAGAUACCGUCGUAGUCUUAACCAUAAACUAUGCCGACUAGGGAUCGGAUGUUGAUCAAAAUUUUGACACAUUCGGCACCUUACGAGAAAUCAAAGUUUUUGGGUUCUGGGGGGGGAGUAUGGUCGCAAGGCUGAAACUUAAAAGGAAUUGACGGAAGGGCACCACCAAGAGUGGAGACUGCGGCUUAAUUUGACUCAACACUCAACACGGGAAAUCUCACCAGGUCCAGACACAAUAAGGAUUGACAGAUUGAGAGCUCUUUCUUGAUUUUGUGGGUGGUGGUGCAUGGCCGUUCUUAGUUGGUAGAGUGAUUUGUCUGCUUAAUUGCGAUAACGAACGAGACCUUAACCUUUAAAUAGGUCCAUUAGCUUUUUGCUGAAAGGAACUUCUUAAAGGGACUAUUGAUUAAAAAUCAAUUGAAGUUUGAGACAAUAACAGGUCUGUGAUGCCCUUAGACGUUCUGGGCCGCAUGAGUUAUUAGUCUUUUAUAUAUAUAUAUAUCUAUUGUUAGAUUCUUGAAUACGUCUAAUACUGGGAGUUAUGUUCAUUCGUUGAUCAGCGAUAUGUUCCAGUCCGCCAUGACGGCCCUUCUGGUCACUUCCCAUCUCUCGGUCACACAACAUCAGCAAUCCAAUGGCCGGGUUGAGAAUCGCAACAAAUUGAUCGAGACCU